Molecule: ribosomal RNA, 441 nt
Filed under: uncultured bacterium
Lineage: Bacteria
Description: partial 16S ribosomal RNA
Rfam family: Bacterial small subunit ribosomal RNA
Source: RNAcentral
CCUACGGGUGUCAGCAGUGGGGAAUAUUGCACAAUGGAGGGAACCCUGAUGCAGCGACGCCGCGUGGGUGAAGGAGUAUUUCGGUAUGUAAAGCCCUAUUAGCAGGGAAGAACAAUGACGGUACCUGACUAAGAAGCACCGGCUAAAUACGUCCCAGCAGCCGCGGUAAUACGUAUGGUGCAAGCGUUAUCCGGAUUUACUGGGUGUAAAGGGAGCGCAGGCGGGGCGUUAAGCCUGGUGUGAAAGGCCGCGGCCCAACCGCAGGACUGCAUUGGGAACUGGCGCGCUUGAGUGCCGUUGGGGUAGGCGGAAUUCCUAGUGUAGCGGUGAAAUGCGUAGAUAUUAGGAGGAACACCAGUUGCGAAGGCGGCCUACUGAACGGUGACUGACGCUGAGGCUCGAAAGCGUGGGGAGCAAACAGGAUUAGAUACCCUAGUAGUC